UGGGGAAUAUUGGACAAUGGGCGCAAGCCUGAUCCAGCCAUGCCGCGUGGAUGAUGAAGGCCCUAGGGUUGUAAAGUCCUUUUAACGGGGAAGAUAAUGACGGUACCCGUAGAAUAAGCCCCGGCUAACUUCGUGCCAGCAGCCGCGGUAAUACGAAGGGGGCUAGCGUUGCUCGGAAUUACUGGGCGUAAAGCGCACGUAGGCGGACCGAUAAGUCGGGGGUGAAAUCCUGGAGCUCAACUCCAGAACUGCCUUCGAAACUGCCGGUCUUGAGUUCGGGAGAGGUGAGUGGAACUGCGAGUGUAGAGGUGAAAUUCGUAGAUAUUCGCAAGAACACCAGUGGCGAAGGCGGCUCACUGGCCCGAUACUGACGCUGAGGUGCGAAAGCGUGGGGAGCAAACA
RNAcentral lists this ribosomal RNA (402 nucleotides) under uncultured bacterium. RNAcentral's name for it is "bacterial SSU rRNA". It matches the Rfam family "Bacterial small subunit ribosomal RNA", at positions 355 to 774 of the family's 1533-position model. RNAcentral also lists the same sequence under 2 other names. The record is from RNAcentral.